RNAcentral lists this long non-coding RNA (1233 nucleotides) under Gallus gallus (chicken). RNAcentral's name for it is "long non-coding RNA NONGGAT008831". The record is from RNAcentral. Lineage: Eukaryota; Metazoa; Chordata; Aves; Galliformes; Phasianidae.
GCAGCACAGUGCUGAGCUGCACUUCCCGAACAGCGGCGACAACUCCACAGCCCCUCUGGAACCUUCCGACCUCCCGCUCCGCCCCCGCGCAGCGGAACUGACGUAUACCUCCUCCUUCUCCUCGGGCGCACACCGCCCCCUUCGCUACUUCCGCUCUCCCAGAGGAAGGGGAGGGCCAAACCGCGGUGUUGCCAUGGUGACGAGAAGCUUGAUUGGCAGGGCGGGCUGCGGCAGCUGUUAGCGCCCGACGAAGCGGGGCUGUUACCUCAGUGGGUUUUCCUCGCCUCACGAGCUGCGCGUAAAAAUAGCAUGAAAUACAUUCAGUAGCAAAGCAGUUGGAAUCCAGGAGAAGUGGAGAGCCCUGUAUUCCUGGAGGAUUAACCUCAUCGAGCCACAAAGAUGAGACUAGUUCACAGAUGUACCAUGCAUCUCAGGAGCAAUUCGAAUCCAACAAGAUAAAACAGUUGUACUAAAAAUGUUCUUUGGAGGCUUGUCCCUAAUGAAAGUAAAGGCUUCAUUUCAGAGUAAUUUUGAGAAAACAGUUUCCACGUAUAAAUAUUACUCUUCCAAAUGCCACUGCUACAAACACUAACUGGGAUGUACAGAUGGAAGGUGAAAGUCAUUUACUGCCUUUAUAUCAUUACCAAAAGUGGAUAGUUCAGCCAUUCAUUGCCUUCUGAAACUUCUUUUGAGAGGUACAAGGUUCUCCAAGCACCUGCAGUGGUGCACAGUGUCACCUGUCCUUGCAAGCGAGGAACAAAGCUUUUCUUUCAGUGCUGCUGACCUGAGGUGGAGCGUGGGAAAGCUUCGUGGAGUCCCCUUCAUCUACAGAAAGACUGCUAAAAUGGAGGAGAGCAAAGAGCAGGCAAAGAAGUUUGUCUGCAGUUAAUUCAUAAAAGCAGUCCAUUUGUAGAUGACGUUGUGCCAUCUGCUCAUCCUCUGUGGGACCAGUAUAGAGCCCAUAACCUGUACCUCCAUUUGCAUGCUCUCUCUGUAACCUGCACCAGUGACAACAGGUACGUUUUAAAAGUUCCUGCUGAGAAAAAGCACCAGAUGAAGAGGAGGUAUCACUCCCUGAGCACAGGUCCAGAACAUAUUCUGCAGGUGAUGCAUGGCAACACAAAAUGUAGAACUGAGACUGCAGGCCCUGAUGCUCCCCUCAGCCCAACCAGACCCAUCCCACAAAGGAGGAACUAACGAUGUAGAGCACUAAUGAGGGUAAAUGCACGGGGA